This 465-nucleotide ribosomal RNA is filed under the name uncultured bacterium. RNAcentral's name for it is "partial 16S ribosomal RNA". It matches the Rfam family "Bacterial small subunit ribosomal RNA", at positions 338 to 795 of the family's 1533-position model. The record is from RNAcentral.
CCUACGGGCGGCAGCAGUAGGGAAUCUUCCACAAUGGGCGAAAGCCUGAUGGAGCAACGCCGCGUGGGUGAAGAAGGUCUUCGGAUCGUAAAACUCUGUUGUUAGAGAAGAAAGUGCGUGAGAGUAACUGUUCACGUUUCGACGGUAUCUAACCAGAAAGCCACGGCUAACUACGUGCCAGCAGCCGCGGUAAUACGUAGGUGGCAAGAGUUAUCCGGAUUUAUUUGGCGUAAAGGGAACGCAGGCGGUCUUUUAAGUCUGAUGUGAAAGCCUUCGGCUUAACCGGAGUAGUGCAUUGGAAACUGGGAGACUUGAGUGCAGAAGAGGAGAGUGGAACUCCAUGUGUAGCGGUGAAAUGCGUAGAUAUAUGGAAGAACACCAGUGGCGAAAGCGGCUCUCUGGUCUGUAACUGACGCUGAGGUUCGAAAGCGUGGGUAGCAAACAGGAUUAGAUACCCCUGUAGUC